This 83-nucleotide transfer RNA is filed under the name Yarrowia lipolytica. It matches the Rfam family "tRNA". Rfam says of the family: Transfer RNA (tRNA) molecules are approximately 80 nucleotides in length. The record is from Rfam by way of RNAcentral. Lineage: Eukaryota; Fungi; Ascomycota; Dipodascomycetes; Dipodascales. RNAcentral also lists the same sequence under 1 other name.
GCCUGGCUAGCUCAAUCGGUAGAGCGUGAGACUCUUACUCUCAAGCAAUCUCAAGGCUGUGGGUUCAAGCCCCACGUCGGGCU